RNAcentral lists this ribosomal RNA (497 nucleotides) under uncultured bacterium. Its description in RNAcentral is "partial 16S ribosomal RNA". It matches the Rfam family "Bacterial small subunit ribosomal RNA", at positions 28 to 507 of the family's 1533-position model. The record is from RNAcentral.
GAUGAACGCUGGCGGCGUGCCUAAUACAUGCAAGUCGAACGAAAAGAUAAUGAGCUUGCGCCUUUGACGUUAGCGGCGGACGGGUGAGUAACGCGUGGAUAACCUACCUAUAUUACUGGAAUAAUUACGGAAAACCGGUGACAAUGCCGGAUAACAUUUAGAACCGCAUGGUUCUAAGGAGAAAGAUGGCUUUGCUGUCUCUAAUAGAUGGUCCCGCGCCGUAUUAGCUAGUUGGUAAGGUAACGGCCUACCAAGGCAACGAUACGUAGCCGACCUGAGAGGGUGAUCGGCCACACUGGAACUGAGACACGGUCCAGACUCCUACGGGAGGCAGCAGUAGGGAAUCUUCGGCAAUGGGCGAAAGCCUGACGCAGCAACGCCGCGUGAGUGAUGAAGGCCUUCGGAUCGUAAAACCCUGUUAUUGGGGAAGAACAACUGUGGAAGUAAACGUGCACGUCUUGACGGUACCUAAUCAAAAAGCAACGGCUAACUACGUG